GUAGGUGGCAAGCGUUGUCCGGGAAUUAUUGGGGCGUAAAGCGCGCGCAGGCGGUUCUUUAAGUCUGAUGUGAAAGCCCACGGGCUCAAUCGUGGAGGGUCAUUGGAAACUGGAGAACUUGAGUACAGAAGAGGAAAGCGGAAUUCCACGUGUAGCGGUGAAAUGCGUAGAGAUGUGGAGGAACACCAGUGGCGAAGGCGGCUUUCUGGUCUGUAACUGACGCUGAGGCGCGAAAGCGUGGGGAGCAAACAGGAUUAGAUGCCCUGGUAGUCCACGCCGUAAACGAUGAGUGCUAAGUGUUAGGGGGUUUCCGCCCCUUAGUGCUGCAGCUAACGCAUUAAGCACUCCGCCUGGGGAGUACGGCCGCAAAGGCUG
This 375-nucleotide ribosomal RNA is filed under the name uncultured organism. Its description in RNAcentral is "partial 16S ribosomal RNA". It matches the Rfam family "Bacterial small subunit ribosomal RNA", at positions 527 to 896 of the family's 1533-position model. The record is from RNAcentral.